UAGCAUCAACCCAGUGCAUGAUGCGCAAAGU
Molecule: non-coding RNA, 31 nt
Filed under: Rattus norvegicus (Norway rat)
Lineage: Eukaryota; Metazoa; Chordata; Mammalia; Rodentia; Muridae
Source: RNAcentral